Molecule: long non-coding RNA, 2593 nt
Organism: Cygnus olor (mute swan)
Lineage: Eukaryota; Metazoa; Chordata; Aves; Anseriformes; Anatidae
Exons: 9
Source: RefSeq, a predicted model, not a curated record
CAGCUCCCUCUUGAAGCAUUUCCACACCUACGUGUAUUUAGCUCCUUUUUUUAUAGCAGAAGGUCAGACGCGGGGUGGAUAAUACAUGCUGGAGUGCAUCUUGAACUAUCAUCCUAUAUGAUAGUGCCAAUGUCAAGAAAAUCCUGUCAUCACAUUGUUGGUCUUCUGGCCUUCUUCAGGCUUAUGCAGCCAAGGCUGUCUCACAGGAAGAUUUCUUCAGAAACCAGCCCUGGGCCUCACUGAAAACUUGUGGGUUAGGUUUCCCAUCGCAGCAGUGGUGCAGGAACGGUCUAGGAAAGCAUCCGCCUUUUCUGAAGACCAUGACCUUCUACAGUGACUGAAACCUAUUUUGGUUGAACUCUUAUUUGUAUGAAGUCUGUCAUUACGUGUUCUUCUCAGCUGCUGUGUGUCUCUGAUUUCCUCUGCGAUAAAAUUAUCCUCUUACCACGUUUUGUCUGACGGUGACGGACUACAGAGGAGAGGCAGCAGGUUCCGCACAGCCCGAUGCAGGGGAGGCCGGUCCCAACAGGACGCCUGCUGCUGCAACAUCCCUGCAGACAAAAACGAUUUUUAUGUGCUGCACUUCGCUAACAUUUGCUUCAGCCCUGGAAUCUACGCAGGGAUGAGUUACUGCUGUUCUUUGGCUCCCUGCUCCAUCUGCUCCUGAAAUGAUCAUUCCACGUGAUACAACAGAACAACUUCUGAAGCAAAUUGGACUGACUUGAAUUGAGGAAUAAGCAAGAGGGGAUCUCGGGAAUGAAAGGUCCUUCUUUCAGUGGCGAAGGCGAAGUCAAAGAGCAAAGGAGGCUGGAAAAAUAAAGCAGGAUGUUUCCAGUACAGCCCGGCCAGUGGGGAGCUGCGGAUAUUGGUCAAGCAGGACAAUGUAAUCUGUCCGUGACAUCUUGACAAUGUGGUCCAGAAGGAAAAUGGGAACUUCUCAGACUCGCAAUGUAAAUGAGAACCCACAAGGACAUGCUGUGGCCAUCGAUACAGUGCAGAGAGGGCGAGAUCCUGCCAAACUGUGCUGACUUUGGUUCCCCAGAAAGGAAAACACCAUCAUCCAGCCACCUCCCAUCAUUUCCCCUCACCCAGCUCCUCGCUGACCUUCUGCAGGUGCCAUGCCAGCUCCCAGCCCUGGUGCUUGGCCAUGGCUGCAGUACGGAUACGAGGUCCAAGAAGGGUCUGUAACAUUACAGAGAAAACAUGGUUUAUUUUUCUUUUGUGCCAAGUCUACGGCUGGAUUUUUGCCAAGCAGCUCCUUGUGGCUACAUGGAUUUCCAUUUAUCCAACAGCUCAAAUGCGUCUGGGGAUCAUCGUAACUGAUUGUUAUAUUACCAAUACUGUGGGCAUUUGUUGUGUGACAUAGGUCUCUGGAUGCCUCCAUGGUGUAAAUAAUCCAAGGAACAACAUAGCAAAAUGUCAUGUCACAGCCCCAUGCAGGAAUAAAUCUAAGGCAAAAGAGCCUAAAUAUGAAAGCAGUCAGUUUGAUAUGAGUUUGUUUGAUUUGUAAAUAAGACUGAUUCAAAUAGAAGCAUUAAGCUUUGUCAAGUUGUAGUCAUAGGCUGACUUCAGUUACCUGGAAGUCUGAAUUGGUUCAAGCUUUAAAUACAACUUCCUUUUAAGUUUGAAGCCAUAAAAAAUGUGACUGAAAGAAUACAAAUGAAGAGAGUGGCUACCAGACUAAAGGGAAAUGGUCUUGAAGUGAAUUGUAUGCUGCUGAAGAAAGACCUUAUACCAUUUUUGAGACCUUGACAUCAAUGAAGUUCUAUUUAUUAGUGUCGUGUGUCCCCUCUCACCCCCACCCCCAUGUAUCUGCACUUCUGCAGCUUGAUUCUGGUUCUAUUGGGUCAUCCAUGCUCAUUUAUUUUGGUGGAGUCCAUUCUGAUCUAUGUAGUUAUUGAGGUGGAACAAUAAGCUACUCUAAACUAAGUGCUUUUGUGUAUAUAUGUGGAUUAAUGGACAAAAGAAUAACCAUCAUCUGAGAUUUCCAGACACCUCCUUUCUCCAUAACAUCCUUACGAUGUUUUCUGACAAAUACCACGGAACAGGAAGGAUCCGAUUAUCUCCCAGGCUAGAGCAGCACGUAUGAAAACACGACUAGCAAUUUAAUUUGGCUCAACUGAAAGUGAAAUCUGCAGCUAGAAGAGAGAGUUUGACAUUUCUGAAAAGCGAGAAGCUGAAAGAUGCAUCAAGUCAGACAUCGCAGCCGAGAGACCCCCAGUCAGCACUUCGUAGCCUCAGGCGCUCGUGUAUUGAUCUGCACUAAGUCAUCUGGAAUUCACCCACUGCUAACUGAUCCAGGAGGUUGUUAGAACAUGCAAGGGGUAUUGCAAAACAGCAGAUCUUCGCACGCGUGGAAGAAAAAACUGUCAUUUUUAGGGCUGAAUGCACCUGGAGGGACGGUGAUGGGGGGGAAACAUUGGAGUGUUUCUUUUUGCAUCCUGAAAGUCAGAGGACGUCUGCCAGCUGGUUGCCACGACCCAUCCAAGCUCUGGUGAGUAAUUGUGGAAGUUUGUGCACUCUGAUUCACUUCAAACAAUGUGUUGUGCAAUGACAGUAAAGAACAGAAGCCUAUCAAUAAUCAAGGUGUUAU